AUACGUAGGGUGCGAGCGUUGUCCGGAAUUACUGGGCGUAAAGAGCUCGUAGGUGGUUUGUCGCGUCGUCUGUGAAAUUCCGGGGCUUAACUCCGGGCGUGCAGGCGAUACGGGCAUAACUUGAGUACUGUAGGGGAGACUGGAAUUCCUGGUGUAGCGGUGAAAUGUGCAGAUAGCAGGAGGAACACCGGUGGCGAAGGCGGGUCUCUGGGCAGUAACUGACGCUGAGGAGCGAAAGCAUGGGUAGCGAACAGGAUUAGAUACCCUGGUAGUCCAUGCCGUAAACGGUGGGCGCUAGGUGUAGGGGUCUUCCACGACUUCUGUGCCGUAGCUAACGCAUUAAGCGCCCCGCCUGGGGAGUACGGCCGCAAGGCUAAAACUCAAAGGAAUUGACGGGG
Molecule: ribosomal RNA, 398 nt
Filed under: uncultured bacterium
Lineage: Bacteria
Description: partial 16S ribosomal RNA
Rfam family: Bacterial small subunit ribosomal RNA
Source: RNAcentral